This 3468-nucleotide long non-coding RNA is filed under the name Sus scrofa (pig). RNAcentral's name for it is "lncRNA (ENSSSCG00000054525.1)". Lineage: Eukaryota; Metazoa; Chordata; Mammalia; Artiodactyla; Suidae. The record is from RNAcentral.
GUCUGCAACCUACACCACAGCUCACCACAACGCUGGAUCCUUAACCCACUGAGCAAGGCCAGGGAUCAAACCUGCAACCUCAUGGUUCCUAGUUGGAUUCGUUAACCACUGCGCCACGACGGGAAUUCUGAUAUUUAGUUUCUUAAGGAGCCUCCAUACUGUCCUCAAUAGUGGUUGCACCAGCUUACAUUCCCACCAAUGGUAUAGGAGGGGUGCUUUUUGUCUCCAUACCCUCUCCAGCAUUUUUGCUUUCUGGUAAUCUGUCUGUCUUCUUUGGAGAAAUGUCUGUCUAUUUAGAUCUUUCUCUUCUUUCUUUUUUUUUUUUUUUUGGCUUUUUAGGGCCACACCCGCGGUGUGUGGAAGUUCCCAGGCUAGGGGUUGAAUUGGAGCUACAGCUGCUGGCAAACAUCACAGCCACAGCAACGCAGGAUCCGAGGUGUAUCUAACCUACACAAUAGCCCUUGGCAAUGCCGGAUCCUCCACCCACUGGUUGAGGCCAGAGAUCGAACCCGCAUCCUCAUGGAUACUAGUCGGAUUUGUUUCCACCGUGCCACGAAUGGGAACUCCUGUUUAGAGCUUCUAUUUUUCAGUUGGGUUGUUUGGUUUUUGUUUGUGUUUUUGUUUUUGGUAUAAAGUUUAUGAGAUGGUUGUAUAUUGUGGAGAUUAAUCUCACUUUGUUUGCAAGAUUUUCUCCCAUUCUAUGGGUUGUCUUUUCAUUUUGUUUAUGGUUUCCUAUUCUGUGCAAAGGCUUCUACACUGAAUUAGGUCCGGUUAGUUUAUUUUUGUUUUUCUUUUCUUUCUUUUUUCUUCUUUUUUUGGCCAUACCCACAGCCUGAGGAAGUUCCCAGGCCAGGGAUUGAAGCUGUACCACAGCAGCAACCUGAGCCACUGCAGUGACAAUGCCAGACCCUUAACCUGCUGUAUUAUGAGAGAAUUCUGGUUUUUGUCUUUAUUUUUAUACCGUGGGUAUAGCCCCUCUUCCCCCCCCAAAAAAGACCAGUGCUUUCAAUUUCUGGUUACUUCUUAGUGAUCAAAGUUCACAGCUGAAUUCAGAAUGCCAGGGAUGUUGGAGAAGUCUGACAGAAAUGAACAAUGCAGAUGUUAACAGCAUUUCUUUUGGGGGAAAAAAGGGCAACAUUUUAGUAUGAGUAAUAAUAGCAAUAUUUAACCAUAAAAUAAUUUAAAAUUCAUUUCUUCCAGGUUAGUGAGAACAAUUUCUUUCUGUCUGAAGAAGCAGGAUGAAAUCUUCCCCAGGGGACUGAACCCAGUCCUCCCCGUCCCUGAGGAGUAUAUGUAAUUUGAAAGCACUGAAGUGCACCAUCCAUCAUUGCCUAACAAAUUAUUCCAAAAAUAUAGCAGCUGAAAACAGCAAAUAUUUAUUAUCUGAUACAGUUUCCUGGGGUCGGGAAUCUGGGGGUGACUUAGCUGAGUGGUUCUGCCCCAGAGUUUCUUUGGAGGCUGAGUCAAACUCAAGGCUGCAGGCUAUGAAGAUUUGACUGCACAGCAGGGUCUGUUCCCAAACUUGGUCACAUAACCAGGCAGGAGGCCCUCAUUCCUUGCCACAUGGCCUUUCCAUAGUGCCACUCAUGACAUGUCCUUGUUUAGCAUGAGAGAAGCAAGAGAGAAAAUGGGGGGGGGAAGAAGAGACACAGUCUUUUUAUAACCUAAUAUUGAAAGUGAUAUCCCAUCCCUUUUCCCAUAUACUCGAUAUGCUGGAAGAGAGUCACUUAGUUCAGUCCACAUUUAGAGGGAAGAAAACUCUACCUCCUGAUGGGAGGAAUAUCAAAGAAUUUGUGGGCCGAUCUUUAAAUUUAUCACAAUAGGCAGCUUUGGCUCUGAGACAGUAGUAAAGAUUGAAGUAUUAUCCUGGGGAGAAAGUUUUUUAUUUAAGGUUUCUGAUUUCUUUUUUAUUUGCUUUUUAGGGCCGCUCCCACGGUAUAUGGAGGUUCCCAGCCAGGGGUCGAAUCGGAGCUACAGCUUCCGGCCUAGGCCAAGGCCACAGCAACUCAGGAUCUGAGCUGCGCCUGUGACCUACACCACAGCUCACGGCAAUGCUAGAUCCUUAACCCACUGAGUGAGGCCAGGGAUCAAACCUGCCUCCCCACGGAUAUUAGGUUCAUUGACCACUGAGCCACAAUGGGAACUCCAAAGUUUCUCAUUUCUUGCCUUUAAUUCCUCUUUAAAAUUAUUUCCUCUUGUCUGUCAGAGAGUGGAAGUAAGGAUUUGCAGUUCAGUGUCUGCACUGAAUUGGGAGUGAGGGAUCAUUUGGUUACUUCUUUUCCCUUCUACAUCCCAAAGAGCAGGAAGGUCCUCUGGGAGCCAUAGAGGGUACCUGGAGCAGACAAGAAGAUGGAGGUAAUAUUUCCAGGGACUAAAAAAGCCCCAAAGAGUAUGUGCAUAUAAAGUAAAUUCCCAGACUGGACUCCUGUAGACCUUCCAAAACCAGUUGCAACCUCUGCGUUCAUAGUGGCUCCACUACAAGCCCAAACCUGCAUGCUCCUCUGUGAGCUAUCACCUUCCCAUCAAAGAUGCCCUUGAGAGUGAUUGUGAUCCACAUUUCACCUGGAUUGAAAUGUUUGGAGAAGACAUAUAUACAAGGUGAUGGAUUCUGCCCCCCUCCCCUUAGCCUAAGCUAAAUUUCUCUCUUCCUAAAAAGUGACAUUAUGGAUUAGCCCUUCUUCUGACACUUCGGAAAGAAAGGCAAAUCCUCAACAGGAUAAUACAACUGAAAUCACCCUCUUCUAGACUUCCAUGUUCUUAACGUGGCAUUCUCAGGAGAGACCCUAAGAGGGUCCCAUUCAUAUUUCUGCCUGAAUAAUCAAGAUCUGGGAGCCAGGGACACCCCCCCGGGGGGGGGAAUAUGUAACUUAAUAUAAAUCACUCUGGGAGCUUGAAACUAUUGCUAUGAACCUGUCCUUUGUCUAAACAACUAUUGAGAAACCCAGAAACACUUCUGGGAAUUACUAAUGUGGGUUGUGCAGUUUUCAGCAGAGAUACCAACUAUGAAUUCCAGAGGUGGUGAGAGAGUGUAGAAAGAAUGGACGGUUUGGAGUUCCCAUCAUGUCUCAGCGGUUAAUGAAACCAACUAGUAUCCAUGAGGAUGAGGGUUCAAUCCCUGGCCUUGCUCAGUGGGUUAGGGAUCCAACAUUGCUGUGGCUAUGGUGUAGGCCAGCAGCUACAGCUCUGAUUCCACCCCUAGCCUGGGGACCUCCAUGUGCCACGAGUGCGGCCCUAAAAAGACAAAAAAGGAGUUCCUAUCAUGGUUCAGUGGUUAACGAAUCCGACUAGGAGCCAGCCAUGAGGUUGCGGGCUCAAUCCCUGGCCUCACUCAGUGGGUUAAGGAUCCGGCGUUGCCCUGAGCUGUGGUGUAGGUCGCAGACACAGUUCAGAUCCUGUGUGGCUGUGGCUCUGGCAGAGGCCAGCAGCUACAGCUCUGAUUAGAACCCUAGCCUGAGAAGCUCCAUAUGC